AGAACGAACGCUGGCGGCAGGCCUAACACAUGCAAGUCGAACGCCGUAGCAAUACGGAGUGGCAGACGGGUGCGUAACACGUGGGAACAUACCCUUUGGUUCGGAACAACUCAGGGAAACUUGAGCUAAUACCGGAUAAGCGCGAGAGCGGAAAGAUUUAUCGCCGAAGGAUUGGCCCGCGUCUGAUUAGCUUGUUGGUGAGGUAACGGCUCACCAAGGCGACGAUCAGUAGCUGGUCUGAGAGGAUGAUCAGCCACACUGGGACUGAGACACGGCCCAGACUCCUACGGGAGGCAGCAGUGGGGAAUAUUGGACAAUGGGCGAAAGCCUGAUCCAGCCAUGCCGCGUGAGUGAUGAAGGCCUUAGGUUGUAAAGCUCUUUUACCCGGGAGAUAAUGACGGUACCGGGAGAAUAAGCCCGGCUAACUUCGUGCCAGCAGCCGC
RNAcentral lists this ribosomal RNA (443 nucleotides) under uncultured bacterium. RNAcentral describes it as "SSU rRNA". It matches the Rfam family "Bacterial small subunit ribosomal RNA", at positions 26 to 518 of the family's 1533-position model. The record is from RNAcentral.